Molecule: ribosomal RNA, 497 nt
Filed under: uncultured bacterium
Lineage: Bacteria
Description: partial 16S ribosomal RNA
Rfam family: Bacterial small subunit ribosomal RNA
Source: RNAcentral
GAUGAACGCUGGCGGCGUGCCUAAUACAUGCAAGUCGAGCGAACAGACGAGGAGCUUGCUCCUCUGACGUUAGCGGCGGACGGGUGAGUAACACGUGGAUAACCUACCUAUAAGACUGGGAUAACUUCGGGAAACCGGAGCAAAUACCGGAUAAUAUAUUGAACCGCAUGGUUCAAUAGUGAAAGACGGUUUUGCUGUCACUUAUAGAUGGAUCCGCGCCGCAUUAGCUAGUUGGUAAGGUCACGGCUUACCAAGGCAACGAUGCGUAGCCGACCUGAGAGGGUGAUCGGCCACACUGGAGCUGGGACACGGUCCAGACUCCUGCGGGAGGCAGCAGUAGGGAAUCUUCCGCAAUGGGCGAAAGCCUGACGGAGCAACGCCGCGUGAGUGAUGAAGGUCUUCGGAUCGUAAAGCUCUGUUAUUAGGGAAGAACAAAUGUGGAAGUAACUAUGCACGUCUUGACGGUACCUAAUCAGAAAGCCACGGCUAACUACGUG